GAUUAUAUAGUGUAAAAAAACAUGUUGCUUUGAAGGGGCAAAGAUAUAUUAGUUUAUAAUCA
This 62-nucleotide transfer RNA is filed under the name Helicella itala. Its description in RNAcentral is "tRNA-Phe". Lineage: Eukaryota; Metazoa; Mollusca; Gastropoda; Stylommatophora; Geomitridae. The record is from RNAcentral.